RNAcentral lists this ribosomal RNA (253 nucleotides) under uncultured bacterium. Its description in RNAcentral is "partial 16S ribosomal RNA". It matches the Rfam family "Bacterial small subunit ribosomal RNA", at positions 524 to 776 of the family's 1533-position model. The record is from RNAcentral.
UACGUAGGCAGCGAGCGUUGUUCGGAAUUACUGGGCGUAAAGAGUGUGUAGGCGGUGCUCCAAGUUCGGUGUGAAAUCUCCCGGCUCAACUGGGAGGGUGCGCCGGAAACUGGAGUGCUUGAGCGUGGGAGAGGAAAGCGGAAUUCCUGGUGUAGCGGUGAAAUGCGUAGAUAUCAGGAGGAACACCGGUGGCGAAGGCGGGUCUCUGGGCCGAUACUGACGCUGAGGAGCGAAAGCGUGGGGAGCGAACAGG